This 242-nucleotide long non-coding RNA is filed under the name Hordeum vulgare. Its description in RNAcentral is "long non-coding RNA (HVUL_LNC011566)". Lineage: Eukaryota; Viridiplantae; Streptophyta; Magnoliopsida; Poales; Poaceae. The record is from RNAcentral.
GCUACUAUUUUGUUCUUAUUUUUUUCAUAGGUGAAAUGUGAAGCCAAGCGUGAAGUCGUGAAGCCUAUAUGCAAAGAGUAGCAUAUCAUGUAUUGUCAUAGUAGGCUGUAGUAGGCAUAUUUGAGUUGUAGUAGUGUAAAGAUUGUAAUAGACAAAUUUAGUGUUGUUUUGGACGAAUUUCAUUUGUUCUGUGAUCUGUUCAAAAUAUUGAUUUCGUAUGUGAUUUGUAUACCUAUGAAAUG